GUAAAACAGAGAGAGCUUAAAGAGAGAAAGACAAAGACUGAAACUUGUAAUCUUAUUGCUCAAAGGUUUUAGGUUACAAAGCUAAUGUAUUUAAAGACUGUAAAGAAGGAUCUAGACACAGGCCAGCCAGCUGUCUUCUUAGGAACCAUCAACGGUCAAGAGAGCAUAUCGGUUGUGCAGCUGCAAUCUCUGCCUCUCCGUACUCUUUGAGCUGCAUCUUUGAAUACGGUUUGUUGCAGAGACAGCUACUGCUUCUUUGUCUCUAUUCACCAUUUGAAUGGGCUUCGUAGUGGGCUUCGUCUUAUGGCAUUGGGCUGCCAUAACCCUCUGUUUCUGAGCUACGUUAAUAGCCCCUCGCAAACUCGUGGUGGGGGAAGGAACCACACCGAGUUUGAAUCGCAGCGAGAAGUAAGCUGCUUGUGGUAACGACUUUGUGAAAAUGCCAUAAGCCUCUGUUUCUGAGCUACGUUAAUAUAUAACCCUUGUUUCUUUUCCAUAACCCGUCAUUUUCGUCUGUAGAAAACACAGAGGUUCAUUAUGAAAAAUGAUCCAAAUAAGCUCGUCCCUUUUUAAAACAGUCGCACAACGCC
RNAcentral lists this long non-coding RNA (590 nucleotides) under Brassica napus (rape). RNAcentral's name for it is "long non-coding RNA (BNAP_LNC001920)". The record is from RNAcentral. Lineage: Eukaryota; Viridiplantae; Streptophyta; Magnoliopsida; Brassicales; Brassicaceae.